CCUACGGGUGGCAGCAGUGAGGAAUAUUGGUCAAUGGACGAGAGUCUGAACCAGCCAAGUAGCGUGAAGGAUGACUGCCCUAUGGGUUGUAAACUUCUUUUAUAUGGGAAUAAAAUGUUCCACGUGUGGGAUUUUGUAUGUACCAUAUGAAUAAGGAUCGGCUAACUCAGUGCCAGCAGCCGCGGUAAUACGGAGGAUCCGAGCGUUAUCCGGAUUUAUUGGGUUUAAAGGGAGCGUAGGUGGAUUGUUAAGUCAGUUGUGAAAGUUUGCGGCUCAACCGUAAAAUUGCAGUUGAAACUGGCAGUCUUGAGUACAGUAGAGGUGGGCGGAAUUCGUGGUGGAGCGGUGAAAUGCUUAGAUAUCACGAAGAACUCCGAUUGCGAAGGCAGUUCACUGGACUGCAACUGACACUGAGGCUCGAAAGUGUGGGUAUCAAACAGGAUUAGAUACCCUUGUAGUC
RNAcentral lists this ribosomal RNA (460 nucleotides) under uncultured bacterium. RNAcentral describes it as "partial 16S ribosomal RNA". It matches the Rfam family "Bacterial small subunit ribosomal RNA", at positions 338 to 795 of the family's 1533-position model. The record is from RNAcentral.